UACGGGGGGAGCAAGCGUUGUUCGGAUUUACUGGGCGUAAAGGGCGCGUAGGCGGCUUCGUAAGUCGGCCGUGAAAUCUCCAGGCUUAACUUGGAGGGGUCGGGCGAGACUGCGGAGCUCGAGGUGGGCAGAGGGCAGUGGAAUUCCGGGUGUAGUGGUGGAAUGCGUAGAGAUCCGGAGGAACACCAGUGGCGAAGGCGGCUGCCUGGGCCUGGCCUGACGCUGAGGCGCGAAAGCGUGGGGAGCGAGCCGG
RNAcentral lists this ribosomal RNA (253 nucleotides) under uncultured bacterium. RNAcentral describes it as "partial 16S ribosomal RNA". It matches the Rfam family "Bacterial small subunit ribosomal RNA", at positions 524 to 776 of the family's 1533-position model. The record is from RNAcentral.